UACGUAGGGGCCUAGCGUUGUCCGGAAUUAUUGGGCGUAAAGAGCUCGUAGGCGGUUCGGCAAGUCGGAUGUGAAAUCUCCACGCUUAACGUGGAGGGGCCAUUCGAAACUGCUGUGACUAGAGUCCGGUAGGGGAGUGUGGAAUUCCCGGUGUAGCGGUGAAAUGCGCAGAUAUCAGGAGGAACACCAAAGGCGAAGGCAGCUCGCUGGGACGGUACUGACGCUGAGGUGCGAAAGCGUGGGGAGCGAACAGG
RNAcentral lists this ribosomal RNA (254 nucleotides) under uncultured bacterium. Its description in RNAcentral is "partial 16S ribosomal RNA". It matches the Rfam family "Bacterial small subunit ribosomal RNA", at positions 524 to 776 of the family's 1533-position model. The record is from RNAcentral.